This 292-nucleotide ribosomal RNA is filed under the name uncultured bacterium. RNAcentral describes it as "partial 16S ribosomal RNA". It matches the Rfam family "Bacterial small subunit ribosomal RNA", at positions 505 to 796 of the family's 1533-position model. The record is from RNAcentral.
GUGCCAGCAGCCGCGGUAAUACGAAGGGGGCUAGCGUUGUUCGGAAUUACUGGGCGUAAAGCGCGCGCAGGCGGUUUCUCAAGUCAGUGGUGAAAGCCCGGAGCUCAACUCCGGAACUGCCAUUGAAACUGUGAAACUUGAGGACGAGAGAGGUGAGUGGAAUUCCCAGUGUAGAGGUGAAAUUCGUAGAUAUUGGGAAGAACACCGGUGGCGAAGGCGGCUCACUGGCUCGUUUCUGACGCUCAGGCGCGACAGCGUGGGGAUCAAACAGGAUUAGAAACCCGGGUAGUCC